UACGAGGGGUGCGAGCGUUGCUCGGAAUUAUUGGGCGUAAAGGGUAGGUAGGUGGUUUCAUUUGUCUGGGGUGAAAGCCUUGGGCUUAACUCAAGAAGUGCCCCGGAAACGGUGAAACUCGAGUACUGGAGAGGGUCGUGGAAUUCCCGGUGUAGCGGUGAAAUGCGUAGAUAUCUGAAGGAACAUCAGUGGCGAAAGCGACUUCCUGGACCAAUACUGACGCUCAUGUGCGAAAGCGUGGGGAGCAAACAGG
This 253-nucleotide ribosomal RNA is filed under the name uncultured bacterium. RNAcentral's name for it is "partial 16S ribosomal RNA". It matches the Rfam family "Bacterial small subunit ribosomal RNA", at positions 524 to 776 of the family's 1533-position model. The record is from RNAcentral.